GUCUUUUUGAUUUAAAUAUAAAGUAUAACCUGCCCAUUGAAUUUUUAAAAGGCUGCGGUAUAUUGACCGUACAAAGGUAGCAUAAUCAUUAGUUUUUUAAUUGAGAACUUGUAUGAAUGGUUGAAUGAGAAAUAAUCUUUUUUAAUAGGAAAAUUGAAUUUUACCUUUUAAUUAAAAGGUUAAAAUAUUUUUAAAAGACGAGAAGACCCUAUAGAGUUUUAUAAUUUAUAUUUAAUAUUAAAAAAAAUUAAUAAAUAUUUUUAUUUAAAUAAUUAUUUUGUUGGGGUGAUGAUAAAAUUUAAUUAACUUUUAUUUUUUUUUACAUUAAUAUAUGGCUAAUUGAUCCACUACUAGUGAUUAAAAAAUUAAAUUACCUUAGGGAUAACAGCGUAAUUUUUUUUUUAAGUUCAUAUUAAUAAAAAAUUUUGCGACCUCGAUGUUGGAUUAAGAUUUAAUUUUAGGUGCAGAAGUUUAAAAUUUAAGUCUGUUCGACUUUUAAAUUCUU
This 505-nucleotide ribosomal RNA is filed under the name Pseudolycoriella jejunella. Its description in RNAcentral is "partial large subunit ribosomal RNA". Lineage: Eukaryota; Metazoa; Arthropoda; Insecta; Diptera; Sciaridae. The record is from RNAcentral.